AUGCUCGCUAUCCCAAGGUUCAUUGCGAUCCCAAGGUUCACUGCGGUUUUCCACAAGAUGCAGAAACUUUUGACAUAUGAAUUCAUUUUGACUAAGGAACUCUUCACAGCACUGCAGCUAAACAGUCACAACCUCACAGAGCUGCACAACUGCCCCACUCAGAUCAGUGUUGAAGCUGGAACCUCAUCUUGUGUACAGCAAAGGCAGAGCUGAAAAUUCACUGUUUGUCUUGUAUUGUGUGUGGCAAAACCUGGAAUAACACAUGGGAGCCCUCCAGGAAUUCCUGACACUUUACGCCCAAGUCUCCUCAUGCUAACCGGAUUGCAAUAUGACAGUCUAAUCAGCAUAAACACCUGGACUCACCAAGCACACUUUGGUUCUCAGUGUUUUGUAAAAAUAGUUUUUGCUAUUCUUCAGUAAAUACUUGAAUAUGUUUUGAACUUAUUCUACUUUUGAUGUUUAAGUUCAGAAAGUUGUUAUUAUAAACAUAAUUUGCAUUUGUCAUGAACUUGACUUCUUGUUAUUGUGAAAGCUGUUUAUUAUGAUGGCAUUUCCAAAGGCAUCAUUUGAAAAGAUUUUUUGCAGUGCAGUUUUACUUGAGCUUGACAUACCAGAUGUAUGACAUGAAUAAAUAUCACAAAAUAAAUAUAAUAAUAAUAAUACAAAAUAUACAUUUCCUUCAAUUAUAAUUGUUUUUAAUCAUUUAUAUAUGUAUGGUAAUAUAUUAUUGCAUUAAAAACUUAUAAAAUAUAUAUUUUUGGUUAAAAUAUAUAUUUUUGCAUUUUUGUGUGAUUUUUAUUAUUUAUUUUUAUUUGUGGCAUUAUAAAUAAAUUAUAAAUGUUUCAUUAAAAAUUUAUUGUGUUUAUUUGCAUUCUCGUUUACAAUGAACUACUAUUUAUACUAUUUAAUGGGCACUAUAUUUGUCAUUUAAGUUUGACAUAUAUUUAUAUUUGUAUACCUACAUGAUGCAGGGUUUAGUUGCAGCAAAUGCUUGAAAUGUUUUCAAACAUGAAGCUUUUUUAUUAUUUUAUUAUUCGUUUCAAAUUAAGUAUACUGCCUAUGAUCUGGUUUUACUAUGAUCAUUUUGCACAUCAGGUUACCCCCACAAAGUAAUCUCACGGUAAAUAUACAUUUGUAUUUUUAAUAAGACAAUAAAUAACAUGUAAUAUUAAUACACAUUUUGAUAUUUAAGUUAUAUUAUAAGGUUAUAAUCAACCUUCAGCCGGAAGAUUACCAAAUAGAGACAAAGUGUGACGUAGAUUGCGACGUUGUGAUUGGACUAUAACUUCAAAGCCAAAUUAAAAGAUCCUUCGUGUUGCUAACUAUGUUUUGCUAACUUUGCCACUUUACUAACAGUGUCCUUUAUCAAUGAGUUAUCGCUGUGUUUUAAAUAGUUAACGAUUAACCAAGAUCGUAACCCUAAACUUAACCCUAACUACACCUUUCAAGGAACUACAAUUUGUAGCGCCAUGUCUUUCCCCUCCCAUCUCUACAGCGACAAAGGAUUGUGGGUAAUGUAGUUUAAGGCCUUUUUGUAAUAAAAUGGAACAGAUACAAAUUUUAAUGAACUAAAGACUAUCUGAAUAAGGUCAUUGUGCAUAUAUUUAUGACAUAUAUGAAAGCCAGGCAUAAAUUUGUUAUUUUACAAUGAGUAUUUUUUAAACAGCUUUUAUUGACUUGAUCAGUAUAUAUCAGACUAUUAUAUCCAACAUUAUUUAUUGAACAUAGCAUAGGUAAUAGUCUUGCUGAUAUUCUCUCACUCAUUUCUCGUUUGAAAUGUGAAUACUUUUUCCUUUUCUACGGGGCUCUACUCAUCCCCUUUGAGUAAAAGGGCAGUUAACCUAUGUAGAUGUAUUAUCUUCAACAUGGACAAGAAAUUGUAUUGUCACAUGUACAGUUGUGGUAAAAAAAAAAAAAAAGCUGUAAAAAUAAGCUAAACAUUAGUAUCCUCUUUAAUUACAAGUUAUUAGCAAUAGUGAUCUAUGUUCAUCACAAAUGUUAUGAGUUCAGAAUAAUAUGUGUGGAUGUAAUUCUGUAAGUGUGUUUCAUUAAUGGUCAUCAUGUGAUAUUUAAUUGUUUUCACUUUAUUUGAAAUAUGGAUAAAAGCUCUUUUAAAAUAUGUAAAUGUUUAUAAAUAAAACCUUUUUAAAGACAUGUAUUUGUUUAAAAACCACUCUUUUUCUGAUUAUUUUUACUUUCUAAAUCUUCAACUGUUUGUGUAACAGUAUGAUUUGAUGACAAUGGAUGAACUUGUGUUUAAUAAUGAUUCCACAUAAUGUCUUUGUCCUGCAUGUGGGUUAAUUUGUUAAUUAUUUUCUUUAUGAUCAAAUGGUUGUAAGAUUUGCUGCAUUGUAAGAAUCAUGAAAAUAUUGAGAAAUGAGGUAACAAUGAUGAAAAGAUAUCUUUUCAAAUGCUGCGAAUAGUUCAAACCUCCAAAUGAUUAAAAAUACAUAGCCAUUAACCAACAAAAUAAAAAUGCAAACAUUUAAAUUAUCUAAACUAGAAGUAAAAUAGUUC
Molecule: long non-coding RNA, 2517 nt
Filed under: Danio rerio (zebrafish)
Lineage: Eukaryota; Metazoa; Chordata; Actinopteri; Cypriniformes; Danionidae
Description: lncRNA (ENSDARG00000117663.1)
Source: RNAcentral